GCGUGGUUAGUUCAGUGGUAGAAUUACUGGUUUCCAACCAGUCGACUCGGGUUCGAAUCCCGGACCGCGCA
This 71-nucleotide transfer RNA is filed under the name archaeon. RNAcentral's name for it is "tRNA-Gly". It matches the Rfam family "tRNA". Rfam says of the family: Transfer RNA (tRNA) molecules are approximately 80 nucleotides in length. Their secondary structure includes four short double-helical elements and three loops (D, anti-codon, and T loops). Further hydrogen bonds mediate the characteristic L-shaped molecular structure. tRNAs have two regions of fundamental functional importance: the anti-codon, which is responsible for specific mRNA codon recognition, and the 3' end, to which the tRNAs corresponding amino acid is attached (by aminoacyl-tRNA synthetases). tRNAs cope with the degeneracy of the genetic code in two manners: having more than one tRNA (with a specific anti-codon) for a particular amino acid; and 'wobble' base-pairing, i.e. permitting non-standard base-pairing at the 3rd anti-codon position. The record is from RNAcentral.